RNAcentral lists this ribosomal RNA (445 nucleotides) under uncultured bacterium. RNAcentral's name for it is "partial 16S ribosomal RNA". It matches the Rfam family "Bacterial small subunit ribosomal RNA", at positions 354 to 796 of the family's 1533-position model. The record is from RNAcentral.
GUGAGGAAUAUUGGACAAUGGGCGCAAGCCUGAUCCAGCCAUGCCGCGUGCAGGAAGACGCAUCUAUGGUGUGUAAACUGCUUUUGUACGGGAAGAAACACUCCCUCGUGAGGGAGCUUGACGGUACCGUAAGAAUAAGGAUCGGCUAACUCCGUGCCAGCAGCCGCGGUAAUACGGAGGAUCCAAGCGUUAUCCGGAAUCAUUGGGUCUAAAGGGUACGUAGGCGGUUUAAUAAGUCAGUGGUGAAAGCCCAUCGCUCAACGAUGGAACGGCCAUUGAUACUGUUAGACUUGAAUUACAAGGAAGUAACUAGAAUAUGGAGUGUAGCGGUGAAAUGCUUAGAUAUUACAUGGAAUACCAAUUGCGAAGGCAGGUUACUACUUGUGGAUUGACGCUGAUGGACGAAAGCGUGGGGAGCGAACAGGAUUAGAAACCCGAGUAGUCC